CAAGGCUCCUGGGGCCCAGAGUGCGAUGAGCGCUGCCCGACCAACUGUUACGAGGAGGAAUCAACCAAGAACGUCUACUGUGACAAACUAUAUGGCAACUGUACUGAAGGCUGUAAAGCAGGAUACUACAACCAACGUUGUGAUGAGAGAUGCAAAGACUGCACAAGUGGACGUUGCGUGCAAGUGGAUGGUGCCUGUUUGCCAGGGCGAUCGUCUGGGGUUCUUCACCCCAACACAUUUCUCAUAGUGUUGGUUAUACUGAUUCCAGUCAGAGGAUACAGAAUCGCUGUGAUAAGCUCUGACACAAGCAUAUCUAGUCGCUUCUGUUGAUGCCUGUGGCUGCACGUAUUGUAAAGAUCUGCAGUGUGACUCUUCUGGACAUUGUCUUCAUGGAUGUGCUGAGUCUCACAACUA
Molecule: unclassified non-coding RNA, 414 nt
Filed under: Haliotis rubra (blacklip abalone)
Lineage: Eukaryota; Metazoa; Mollusca; Gastropoda; Lepetellida; Haliotidae
Description: scavenger receptor class F member 1-like, transcript variant X1
Source: RNAcentral